GAACGCUGGCGGCAUGCCUAACACAUGCAAGUCGAACGGAAACGAUGGGAGCUUGCUCCCAGGCGUCGAGUGGCGGACGGGUGAGUAAUACUUAGGAAUCUGCCCAUUAGUGGGGGACAACUCGAGGAAACUCGAGCUAAUACCGCAUACGCCCUACGGGGGAAAGCGGAGGAUCCUUCGGGACUUCGCGCUAAUGGAUGAGCCUAAGUCGGAUUAGCUUGUUGGUGAGGUAAAGGCUCACCAAGGCGACGAUCCGUAGCUGGUCUGAGAGGACGAUCAGCCACACUGGGACUGAGACACGGCCCAGACUCCUACGGGAGGCAGCAGUGGGGAAUAUUGGACAAUGGGCGCAAGCCUGAUCCAGCAAUGCCGCGUGUGUGAAGAAGGCCUGCGGGUUGUAAAGCACUUUCAGUAGAGAAGAAAAGCCUACGGUUAAUACCCGUGAGUCUUGACGUUACCUACAGAAGAAGCUCCGGCUAACUCCGUGCCAGCAGCCGCGGUAAUACGGAGGGAGCAAGCGUUAAUCGGAAUUACUGGGCGUAAAGCGCGCGUAGGCGGCUUUGUCAGUCGGAUGUGAAAGCCCUGGGCUCAACCUGGGAAUUGCAUUCGAUACUGCAGAGCUAGAGUAUGGUAGAGGGAAGUGGAAUUUCCGGUGUAGCGGUGAAAUGCGUAGAUAUCGGAAGGAACACCAGUGGCGAAGGCGACUUCCUGGGCCAAUACUGACGCUGAGGUGCGAAAGCGUGGGGAGCAAACAGGAUUAGAUACCC
RNAcentral lists this ribosomal RNA (767 nucleotides) under uncultured bacterium. RNAcentral describes it as "bacterial SSU rRNA". It matches the Rfam family "Bacterial small subunit ribosomal RNA", at positions 31 to 787 of the family's 1533-position model. The record is from RNAcentral.